RNAcentral lists this ribosomal RNA (775 nucleotides) under uncultured Neocallimastigales. Its description in RNAcentral is "partial large subunit ribosomal RNA". It matches the Rfam family "Eukaryotic large subunit ribosomal RNA", at positions 20 to 614 of the family's 3401-position model. Lineage: Eukaryota; Fungi; Neocallimastigomycota; Neocallimastigomycetes; Neocallimastigales. The record is from RNAcentral.
UACUAGAGUAGCACUCGCAUAUCAAUAAGCGGAGGAAAAGAAACUAACAAGGAUUCCCCUAGUAACGGCGAGUGAAGCGGGAAGAGCUCAAAUUUGAAAUCUUAAAGGGUUUCCCUUUACGAAUUGUAGUUUAAAGAAGUGUUUUCUGUUGAGGUUUUGGUAAAAGUUCUUUGGAAUAGGACAUCAUAGAGGGUGAGAAUCCCGUAUUUGACCUUUACUUUCAACUUUGUGAUACACUUUCAAAGAGUCGGAUUGUUUGGGAAUGCAGUCCAAAAUGGGUGGUAAAUUUCAUCUAAAGCUAAAUAUUGGCGAGAGACCGAUAGCGAACAAGUACCGUGAGGGAAAGAUGAAAAGAACUUUGAAAAGAGAGUUAAACAGUACGUGAAAUUGUCAAGAGGGAAGCGUUUGACACCAGUGUUGUUUUUCUGAAAAAUCAAUUAAAGAACUGUUUAUGCUAAGCUGUUUAGACUUUAUCAGCUAUCUGUUUAGUUUUGAGCUUUUCUUUAAUGCACUUUUCAGUUAACAAGUCAACAUCAAUUUCUUUUGCUGUAAAAAAGCUUGAGGAAGGUGGCUUGAGAUUCGUCUUAAGUGUUUAUAGCCUCUUGCCUAUGCAGUCGGAGAGAUUGAGGUCUGCAGCGUAGAUCCUUCGGGGCUAAAUGCAUUUGUGCUAAGUUAUAGCAUUUUAUAGACAACUUGUUGACUAUGAUUUGUCUUGUAGCUUACUCGCUUAUGUUAUUUUACCUACGCUUAGGAUGUUGAGUCAUCACACAUCUCU